UACGGGGGGGGCAAGCGUUGUUCGGAAUUACUGGGCGUAAAGGGCUCGUAGGCGGCCAACUAAGUCAGACGUGAAAUCCCUCGGCUUAACCGGGGAACUGCGUCUGAUACUGGAUGGCUCGAGUUUGGGAGAGGGAUGCGGAAUUCCAGGUGUAGCGGUGAAAUGCGUAGAUAUCUGGAGGAACACCGGUGGCGAAGGCGGCAUCCUGGACCAACACUGACGCUGAUGCGCGAAAGCCAGGGGAGCAAACGGG
This 253-nucleotide ribosomal RNA is filed under the name uncultured bacterium. RNAcentral describes it as "partial 16S ribosomal RNA". It matches the Rfam family "Bacterial small subunit ribosomal RNA", at positions 524 to 776 of the family's 1533-position model. The record is from RNAcentral.